Molecule: long non-coding RNA, 167 nt
Organism: Leopardus geoffroyi (Geoffroy's cat)
Lineage: Eukaryota; Metazoa; Chordata; Mammalia; Carnivora; Felidae
Exons: 2
Source: RefSeq, a predicted model, not a curated record
GGGAGGAGCAGAGAGCAUCCCAAGCAGGCCCUGCACUGUCAGCACAGAGCCCGACCUGCGGCUCGAACUCACGAACCAUGAGAUCCAGACCUGACUGAAACCCAGAGCCGGACAGUCAGCCUACUGAGCCACCCAGUGAACGCCACAAACUUUGGGAACCACUUAAG